This 421-nucleotide unclassified non-coding RNA is filed under the name Hevea brasiliensis (rubber tree). The record is from RNAcentral. Lineage: Eukaryota; Viridiplantae; Streptophyta; Magnoliopsida; Malpighiales; Euphorbiaceae.
AAGAGUGGCUGGAAUUUGAGAAUUGGCUUCUAGUGGUAGCAAAUUAUCAAAGUUUGGGUUUGAUUUGAUUGGAUUGAGCAGUAGCAAAGAUGUGGAAAAUAUAUUGGUAUGUAGGAUAAGUAAUGGUUAGGCAAUAGAUUAAAUUUUAAGGUUGAUGGAAGCAAACAAAGAAUAAUAGAAACAAAGAAUAAUAGCCUUUGGCUUUUGGGUUGCUAGCAGCGGAACUAAAAGAGAAACAGGAGGAAAAGGUGUAAAUAUGAAGAGCAAAGGGAGCAAGAAAAAGAAAGUACACAGAAAAAGAAAGUACACACUACACCAGUGUUGUCAAAAGUGCUAGGCAUCCUUAAGGUGAGAAGGUCCUCCAACACCUGAGGCGCUAGGCGCUUGCCUGAGUGAGAUGAGGCACUAAUUUAUUCUAAAA